AGGACGAACGCUGGCGGCGUGCCUAACACAUGCAAGUCGAACGCGCUCCAUUCGGUAGCAAUACUGAUGAAGAGUGAGUGGCGAACGGGUGAGUAGCACGUGAGCAACCUGCCCCGAAGACUGGGACAACACCGGGAAACCGGUGCUAAUACCGGAUACCCUUAUCGGACCGCAUGAUUCGAUAAGGAAAUGGAUUCCGCUUCGGGAGGGGCUCGCGGCCUAUCAGCUUGUUGGUGGGGUAAUGGCCUACCAAGGCUUCGACGGGUAGCUGGUCUGAGAGGACGAUCAGCCACACUGGGACUGAGACACGGCCCAGACUCCUACGGGAGGCAGCAGUGGGGAAUCUUGCGCAAUGGGCGAAAGCCUGACGCAGCAACGCCGCGUGGAGGACGAAUGCUUUCUGAGUUGUAAACUCCUUUCAGCAGGGACGAUAGUGACGGUACCUGCAGAAGAGCACCGGCCAACUACGCGCCAGCAGCCG
Molecule: ribosomal RNA, 481 nt
Filed under: uncultured bacterium
Lineage: Bacteria
Description: SSU rRNA
Rfam family: Bacterial small subunit ribosomal RNA
Source: RNAcentral